AUUGAACGCUGGCGGCAGGCCUAACACAUGCAAGUCGAACGAGUGGCGGACGGGUGAGUAAUGUCUGGGAAACUGCCCGAUGGAGGGGGAUAACUACUGGAAACGGUAGCUAAUACCGCAUACCAUCGGAUGUGCCCAGAUGGGAUUAGCUAGUAGGUGGGUUAAAGGCUCACCUAGGCGACGAUCCCUAGCUGGUCUGAGAGGAUGACCGGCCACACUGGAACGGGGACACGGUCCAGACUCCUAGGGAAGGCAGCAGUGGGGAAUAUUGCACAAUGGGCGCAGGCCUGAUGCAGCAAUGCCGCGUGAAUGAAGAAGGCCUUCGGGUUGUAAAGUACUUUCUGCGGGGAGGCGUUACCCACAGAGAAAGCACCGGCUAACUCCGUGCCAGCAGCCGCGGUAAUUC
This 406-nucleotide ribosomal RNA is filed under the name uncultured bacterium. RNAcentral's name for it is "partial 16S ribosomal RNA". It matches the Rfam family "Bacterial small subunit ribosomal RNA", at positions 30 to 526 of the family's 1533-position model. The record is from RNAcentral.